UUUGCCUGUGACAUUGGGGCAAAGAGCAAGUGGCUAUUUCUACGCUCAGUGUUCAGAAGCCAGUGAGCACUAAGAAUGGUUUGUAGCCUGACAUU
Rattus norvegicus (Norway rat) is the source of this 95-nucleotide small nucleolar RNA. NCBI's taxonomy places the organism in Eukaryota, Metazoa, Chordata, Mammalia, Rodentia, Muridae. The record is from Ensembl.